RNAcentral lists this ribosomal RNA (501 nucleotides) under uncultured bacterium. Its description in RNAcentral is "partial 16S ribosomal RNA". It matches the Rfam family "Bacterial small subunit ribosomal RNA", at positions 30 to 523 of the family's 1533-position model. The record is from RNAcentral.
AUUGAACGCUGGCGGCAGGCUUAACACAUGCAAGUCGAGCGGGGGAAGGUAGCUUGCUACCGGACCUAGCGGCGGACGGGUGAGUAAUGCUUAGGAAUCUGCCUAUUAGUGGGGGACAACAUCUCGAAAGGGAUGCUAAUACCGCAUACGUCCUACGGGAGAAAGCAGGGGAUCUUUGGACCUUGCGCUAAUAGAUGAGCCUAAGUCGGAUUAGCAAGUUGGUGGGGUAAAGGCCUACCAAGGCGACGAUCUGUAGCGGGUCUGAGAGGAUGAUCCGGCACACUGUGACUGAGACACGGCCCAGACUCCUACGGGAGGCAGCAGUGGGGAAUAUUGGGCAAUGGGGGGAACCCUGAUCCAGCCAUGCCGCGUGUGUGAAGAAGGCCUUAUGGUUGUAAAGCACUUUAAGCGAGGAGGAGGCUACUUUAGUUAAUACCUAGAGAUAGUGGACGUUACUCGCAGAAUAAGCACCGGCUAACUCUGUGCCAGCCGCCGCAGUAA